ACGAAACAUGCGCACUCUCCCUCAGAGACUACACUGUCGUUUUGAGAGUUUGGUCACCUUACUAACCAGCAUGUGACAAUGGAAUCGACACCAAAAUGAUCUUUGUGUAAUGCACUUUGGCCAGUCUACAGUUGAAUAUAUAGCAUGUUGCCAACAGCUUUAUUACUGUCAUAAUAAUGUCCUGCGUCGUAUUGGUAAAAGAUAUACAACAGAUGUAGAAAAACAGUAUUUUGAGCUUGUAAAGAUUGUAUAAUUAGACCUCCCAUAUAAGUGGGACCUUAAACAGUAGGUGAGCAAACAGCUGAAGACACUGAUCGGUGAUUGGAUAUGAAAUUGAUGAAAUCGAUUCAGUUUACAGAGACGGAUUUCCAAACACGACGCCGAGUAAAAACCAAUACCAAGUUUGGUCUGGUAAAAAUCUUCAUAUUUUGGAUAAUAAGUUCUACAAUUGCCUCCAAUCUGAAAUGUUUUGACCACAGGUUUACUUUGAUUAAAAAACAUUGAUUUGCGAAUAUAAUUCAAAAUUCAGACUUGUUUAUGUGAAUAUACAGUAUAAUUUAUUAUUGUUAAAAAACUAUACAAACCUUAAACUGCAUCAGAAAACAAUCAUUUACAUGUAAUUGAUGUCUCUUGUUAGUCCUUUUUAAUACAAGACAUAAAUCAAUUAAGGGGUAACAGCAAUUUCAAAAAUAGUUUUUAUUUUAUUUUGGUAGCUAAGCAAUGAACAUUUACAAUAUUGUUUUGAGUUUUUAAUGUCUUUGGAAAAAAAAAUACAAGUAGCGUUCAAAAGAAAAUAUAAAAUAAAUGUUUAAAAGAAAAGAUUUCAUUUUCAAACCUUUUUUUUGAGGGUUGCGUUGUAUUAAAAAGCUGCAAAAGUUAGAAUGUCAUGUGACCUGAUAUUAUAAUUGCUGCACAUGCACCAAUCCAAGCAUCCACAGGGAGAAAUGGGACGCUGGUUCUCUUGCAAUGUUUUUGGGUAACCCUUUACAUGAA
Molecule: long non-coding RNA, 993 nt
Organism: Etheostoma cragini (Arkansas darter)
Lineage: Eukaryota; Metazoa; Chordata; Actinopteri; Perciformes; Percidae
Exons: 4
Source: RefSeq, a predicted model, not a curated record